UACAGAGGGUGCGAGCGUUAAUCGGAAUUACUGGGCGUAAAGCGUGCGUAGGCGGUUACGUAAGUCUGCUGUGAAAGUCGGAGGCUCAACCUUCGAAAGCCGGUGGAUACUGCGUGACUAGAGUACGGAAGAGGAGAGUGGAAUUCCUGGUGUAGCGGUGAAAUGCGCAGAUAUCAGGAGGAACACCAACGGCGAAGGCAGCUCUCUGGGACGUUACUGACGCUGAGACGCGAAAGCGUGGGGAGCAAACAGG
Molecule: ribosomal RNA, 253 nt
Filed under: uncultured bacterium
Lineage: Bacteria
Description: partial 16S ribosomal RNA
Rfam family: Bacterial small subunit ribosomal RNA
Source: RNAcentral